AUAAAUCAUAAUAAUUUGAAGUGGUACUUGACAAACAAUAAAGAAGUUUGCUUACCCAAUCUGCAAUGCUAGCUCUCAAUAGCAUUUAGGAGUAUAAUACAAAACAAAGAACCAGACCAUGACAAAUUGACUGCACAAAUAAUCAAAUAGUCCACUAAAAGCAUAAUAGAUAGUGCACAGUGCCACAACUUCACCUUAUGCAUGGACUCAAUUACGCAUGCAUGGCUCAGUUUAAACAUAUCUUCAAAUAUUUGUGACAAGACUAACUCUAACAGUCACCCUCUUAAUCUUGUUAUUGUUUGAUUAUCUCCUCUCUCUGGAUCUUAGCAUUCCCGAUUCGUUGUCAAUGAAACUAGCAUGCCCCUUUCCUACCUUCUUCAGGUUGCAACACUUCUAAAUGAAGUCUAUGUAGUCCUGGCGGUUAUAGCAGCACGCUUGCCUUGUCGAAGGUGCAAUUUUCUUGUUGGGGUCAUGUCCGCGUAUUCCUAUCUCUGCCUUGGAACCUCACUUGGCACAUGCUGGCGAUAGGUGCUCACCUUACUCCUUAUUGGGUUUUCCUUGAACGCCUUUAGCUGCCAAAUACUUAUUUGCGCAAUAUCACACCGAAGUCCCUGGAUUGCUUGAGGUGUAGAGAAUUUGCACUAGCAUUGAUGUCAAGGCUUGCAACAUAUUAUUGUUGAAUUGGGGGAGGGGUACUUUCAGACGGGGUUCUUUCUGUGUCUGGUGGCUCGCACAACGACUCACUUGUGUGGCGGCUCACACAUGAACAGGAGGACUGGAUGCCCCCUUCUAGACCAGCCUGCCCACAUGGGCUUGGGCCCUAAGUGACAAAGCUAGAUGGGCUUGGACCCUUACCCGUUCAGCACUCCCCCUCAAGAUGGGUGGUAGAUAUCUAUCAUUCUCAUCUUGUCACAUGCCAAGUUACAGUCCUUUGUUCCCAGUCCCUUUGUCAGGAGCUGACAUGAGUAAGGCUGAUGGUCCGAGCAUCAAAUUUCUCUUUAAUGAAGAAGCGGUCAAUUUCCGCAUGUUUUGUCCUAUCAUGUUGAACUGGCUUAUUAGCAAUGGCUAUAGCCGACUGAUUGUCACACCACGCCCUCAAGGGUCCCUUCCUUAGAAGUUUCGACUAGCUUAGUAGGUACUUCACCCAAAGCAUCUCACUCAACCCUUGAGAUAAUGCUCUAUACUCAGCUUUUGCUGUUGAUCUAGGCACACCAUUCUGUUUCUUGCUUCUCCAUGACACCAAAUUUCCUCCCACAAACACACAGUAGCCAGAAGUUGAUCUUCUAUUAGCUUGACAACUGGCCUAGUCAGAGUCACUAUAGCCAUCCACCUCAAGACGUUCACCCUUCCCAAACCACAACCCUUUACCCGGAGUCCCUUUCAAGUAUCUGAGGAUUCUAUGCACAAUAUCAAGAUGCCCACUUCUUGGUUCAUGCAUGUAUCUGCUCACCACUGCCACGACAUACGUAAUGUCAGGCCUGGUAUGACACAAGUACAAUAACCUCCCAACCAAUUUCUGAUAAUCUUCCUUAUUCACUAGCUCUCCUGAUUGUGCCGUCACUUGAUGAUUUUGUUCAAUCGUAGGGGCAGCACGACAUCCCAUCAUGCCCAUGUCACUCAAGAGAUCCAAGAUGUAUUUCCGUUGGCACAUAGAGAUUCCCUCCUCUGUCCGAGCCACUUCAAUGCUAAGGAACUAUUUUAGGUUGCCCAAAUCCUUUACCUCAAACUUCUUGCUCAGACAACCCUUCAAUCUCUGUAUUUCCUCCUUAUCAUCUCCAGUGAUGAUAAUAUCAUCCACACAAACAACAAUAAUGGUGAAAUUUUGAUCAGGGUGCCCGUAGAACAUCAUGUGGUCACCGUUACACUAACCUUACCGCAUACCAUGGACACCAUGCCCGAACCUAUCAAACCAUGCCCUCGGUGAUUGCUUCAGUCCAUACAAGGAUUUCUUCAGCCUGCAUACAUCCCCGUGGUCUCCGAAGUACCAAAACCUGGUGGUAUCUCCAUGUACACUUCUUUCUGCAACUCACCAUGCAAGAAGGCAUUCUUGACAUCCAAUUGCUGCAACUUCCACCUAAAGUUUGCAGCACAGGAGACCAAUAUCCUUACCAUGUUCAUCUUUGCCAAGGGAGCAAACGUCUCAUCAUAGUCAAUUCCAUAAGUUUGACUAUAUCCUCUGGUGAUCAAUCCGGCCUUAUACCAUUCCACCUUCCCUUCGGGGUUCUGCUUCACUGUAUAGAUCCACUUACAACUCACUGCUUUCUUUUCCGCGGGCAGCGUGGUUAGCACCCACGUCUUGUUUUUUCUCGGUGCUUCCAACUUCUAUCCUCGCUUCUCGCCACUUCGGAUCUUGCUUUGCAGCCUUCCAAUCCUUUGGGAUUGAUACAGUUUGAAGAGAGGCAACGAACACUCUAUAGGAAGGAGACAAAGCCUCGUAAGACACAUAAUUUUGAAUGUCAUGAUUAUCAAAAAACUCUGGCGGUAAAGCCUCUGUGUUGCUUCACGUCUCCCUUUCGCAACGCAAUAGACAGUUCCACUGCAUCAGAUGAGCUUGCACCAUUGCCUUGAUGCCCCCCACCUCUUGCACUGACUGCUCCCUUUGCACUUGUGGCUGCCGCCGAGAAUAUACCAGAUGAGUGUCAGAUGAGCCAUGCACUUGUGGCAUCUGUAGUUGUCGCCGAGAGUACAAUAGGGGUAUCUUCUGCCACCGAUCUCGAACAGGGAGUUGGAGAUUACCAAUCUGAAUGGAGCCCGCUGUUGGCUGGACCUGAACCUGCACAUCACCAUCAGUGGGAGUACCAACCAUAAUUGUACCCACAAUUGGUUGGACUUGAACCUGCACAUCAUCAUCAGUGUUGGUGUCCACAAAAUCCCCCCGGGCGUGAGAUACAACCUUCUCCCCCUCUUGACCAUCCUGCACAGAGUGUAAAUUGUCAAGCCCUUGAAACAACCCACUUAGAUAUGUGGGCUCACCAUAGAAUGGCUUAGACUCCCUAAAGGUGACAUUCAUAUUGACAAACCUGUGUUUCUUAGAGGGACACCAUCAUGUAUACCCCUGCUGACUAGAAGAAUAGCCUAGAAAGAUACACUUCACUUCUUGCGGAACAAGUUUCCAAUAGAAGAACGAUGAUCACGACCAAGACAAGUACUGCCAAACAACUUUGGGGGAAUGACAAACUUAGAUUCUGCAUAUACUAGCUCACAUUGAGAUUUCAUGCCUAGUAUUCUUGAUGGUGUCCGGUUGAUCAGGUAUGUGGCCGUCAUAACUGCUUCACUCCACAAGAACUUGGGCACAUUCAUGGUAAACAUCAAUGAUCGAGCAACCUCAAGAAUAUGUUGGUUCUUCCUUUCUGCCACUCCAUUCCGAGGAGGGGUGUCGGGGAAUGAAGUUUGAUGAUGAAUACUUUGAUCAGACAAGAAGGCCCCAAAGGUGUUAUUCACAUACUCUGUACCAUUGUCAGUCCUGAUCACCUGCACCUGAAACUGAUUCUUCACGAAGGCAUGGAAAUUCUAAUAACAGCUAAACACCUCAUCUUUGUGACGCAUCAAAUAAAGCCAAGUCAUAUGAGAAUAGCAAUCGAUGAAUGUAACAAAGUACUUCAUUCCAUUCAUUGACACAAGUGGGCACAUCCAUACAUUUGAAUGAAUCAACGCAAAAGGGGAUAUGCUUCUAAGCCCCUUACUCACAUAUGAGUCCCUUGUGUGUUUGGCAUAUUCGCAAGCAUCACAUGUCAACUUGCCCUUGGCUAUCCCACACAUAACAUCCAGAAAGAUUCUACUCAUCUUAUCAAAAGAUACAUGCCCCAUCCUACAGUGAUGGAUCAUCGCCUCCUCCUUGUCCUCCAUGGUCGCGACACACACCAAGUCUGACUGCACCUUCUGGUCCAUGUACCAGAGCCCCCUACGUUGGUGCCCGUCCCAACCAUCUGCCUCGUUUGUCGCUCCUGAAUCACGCAACCGAAUUUGUCAAGGAUCACUCAACAAUCUAUUUGAUCAAUGAGAGCACUAGAAGAGACCAAAUUGACAGGAAAAGCUGGCACAUGUAAAAGUGAGAAUAGGGAGAUGGUCGGAGUGCAGUUUAGUGUACCAACCCCUAUGACAGGCUGUUUUGUGCCAUCAACCGUUUGUAUAGUGUCUGUGUGAGAAGGAGGAUGCUUAUUAUAAGACUCAAACACACUCAAACACGCAGGAUUUACUAGCAACAUGCUUAGAUGCUCUAGAGUCAAGAACCCACCCUGGACUAUGCUCAUGAGUAGCAAGAGAUGCUCUUUUCGGAUUACUUUCAUCAGGGGAGGCCUAGUGAGCAAAAUCUCCAUAGGCAGCAUCAUUGACAUCUUUGCCUUUUGACGUCCCAGUGUCUCCUGCAACGUCCAUGUGAGCCCUCUGACCCCCUUAGUGUCCUGGGUAGCCACCUCUCCCCUAGAAGCCUGACCCCUUGACGUCUCUGAGUAUCCUCCUCUGCCUCUAGCACUCCUACCUCUGCCAGUUCCCCUUUUGUUUUAUCCACUGCCUCUGCCACGAGUUGGACAUUCCGUCUUCCAGUGUCCUACCUCCCCACAGAUAUGACAUUUGUUGGGAUCUCCCCACUCCAUGCGCCCAGUGACUGCAAAUGUCGAAGCUGGCACAACCUUCAUGUCUGCAUGCUCAAGAGAUAGGCGUAGAGAUAGGCGUACCUCCUCUUGAGUCAUUGCUGCAAUAGCCUCGAGAAUGGUAGGCAUACUAGGUUGGUGUAGCAGGGAAGCCUUCCAGCCAUCAAAGCAACCUUUGAGGCCAGCCAAAAGUUUCAGGACACGCCUGCGUGCCAUCCACAUGUGCCCUGACUCGAUUGAAGCCGCAUCAUAGAGUUUCAGGGGAUCAUAGAUUCACAGUUAUCUUGGUCUGCCCACAGAGCCUGCAGUUUUGCCAUGUAUGUCAUCAUUGACAUGCUGUAGGAAUUGGGGGGGGGGGGAGGACUACCUCGUCCCGUCUGGUUGCUCGUGGAUGUGUGUGGCGGCUGGCUCUCAUGGGAGGACUGUGAGCACCUCCUUCUAGGUCAUCUCAAGGGCUUGGCCUUGUGGGCUUAAGUGAGAUGGGCAAGACAGCCCAUACCGGUUCAACACUCCCCUCAAGAUGGGUGGUAGAUAUCUAGCAUUCCCAUCUUGUCACAUGCCAAGUUAUGGUCCUUUGUUCCUAGUCCCUUUGUCAAACAAUCUGCAAACUGCUGCACAGAGCUGACAUGAGUAAGACCGAUGAUCCCAGCAUCAAGUUUCUCCUUAAUGAAGAAGCGAUCAAUUCCCACAUGUUUUGUCCUGUCAUGUUGAAUUGGAUUAUUAGCAAUGGCUAUAACGGACUGAUUAUUAGCAAUUGGAUUAUUAGAAGUUUCAACUCGCUCAAUACGUACUUCACCCAGAGCAUCUCACACAACCCUUGAGAUAAAGCUCUAUACUCAGCUUCUGCUGUUGAUCUAGAUACACCAGGUUGUUUCUUGCUUCUCCAUGACACCAAAUUUCCUCUCACAAGCACACAGUAGCCAGAAGUUGAUCUUCUAUCAUCUUGACAUCUAGCCCACUCAGAGUCACUAUAGCCAUCCACCUCAAGGUGUCCACUCUUCCCAAAUCACAACCCUUUACCCGGAGUCCCCUUCAAGUAUCUCAGGAUUCUGUGCACAAUAUUAAGAUGCCCACUCCUUGGUUCAUGCAUGUAUCUGCUUACCACCCCCACAACAUAGGUAAUGUCAGGCCUGGUAUGACACAAGUACAAUAAUCUUCCAACCAAUUUCUGAUAAUAUUCCUUAUUCACUAGAUCUCCUGAUUGUGCUGUCACUUGAUGAUUUUGUUCAAUCGGAGUAGGGGCAACACGACAUCCCAUCAUGCCCAUGUCACUCAAGAGAUCGAAGGUAUAUUUUUGUUGGCACAUAGAGAUUCCCUUCUCUGUCCGAGCCACUUCAAUGCCAAGGAAGUAUUUUAGGUUGCCUAAAUCCUUUACCUCAUAAUAAUGUCAUCUACAUAAACAACAAGAUUGGUGAUUUUUCGAUCAGAGUGUUUGUAGAACAUCGUGUGGUCACCGUUACACUGACCAUACCGCAUACCACGGAUAGCACGUCUGUACCUAUCAAACCAUGCCCGCGGUGAUUGCUUCAAUCCAUACAAGGAUUUGUUUAGCCUGCAUACCUUCCCCGUGGUCUCUGAAGUACCAAACCUGGUCGUAUCUCCAUGUACACUUCUUCCUGCAACUCACCAUGUAAGAAGGCAUUCUUGACAUCUAAUUGAUGCAACUUCCACCCAAAGUUUCCAGCACAAGAGACCAAUAUCCUAACCGUUUUCAUCUUUGUCACGGGCGCAAACGUCUCAUCAUAGUCAAUUCCAUAAGUUUGACUAUAUCCUCUGGCGACCAAUCUGGCCUUAUACCGUUCCACCUUACCCUCAGGAUUCUGCUUCACUGUAUAGAUCCACUUACAACUCAUUGCUUUCUUUUCUGCCGGCAAUGUGGUUAGCACCCAUGUCUUGUUUUUCCUCAGUGCUUCCAACUCUUCUAUCAUCGCUUCGCGUCACUUCAGAUCUUGCUUUGCAGCCUUCCAUUCCUUUGGGAUUGACACCGUUUGAAGGGAGGCAACAAACGCCUUAUAUGACGGCGACAAAUCCUUAUGACACAAAAUUGCCAAUAUCAAGGUCAUCACAAGCAUCAUCCUUUGGUAGAGCCUUCCUUGCUACUUCACCCUUGUUGCUUCAUGUGUAG
This 6714-nucleotide long non-coding RNA is filed under the name Hordeum vulgare. RNAcentral's name for it is "long non-coding RNA (HVUL_LNC003741)". The record is from RNAcentral. Lineage: Eukaryota; Viridiplantae; Streptophyta; Magnoliopsida; Poales; Poaceae.